AAGGGAACGGUCUUGAAAACCGUCGUGGCUUCGCGCCACCGUGGGUUCAAAUCCCACACCCACCG
This 65-nucleotide transfer RNA is filed under the name Streptomyces sp. DI166. Its description in RNAcentral is "tRNA_Ser_TGA". It matches the Rfam family "tRNA", at positions 20 to 71 of the family's 71-position model. Rfam says of the family: Transfer RNA (tRNA) molecules are approximately 80 nucleotides in length. Their secondary structure includes four short double-helical elements and three loops (D, anti-codon, and T loops). Further hydrogen bonds mediate the characteristic L-shaped molecular structure. tRNAs have two regions of fundamental functional importance: the anti-codon, which is responsible for specific mRNA codon recognition, and the 3' end, to which the tRNAs corresponding amino acid is attached (by aminoacyl-tRNA synthetases). tRNAs cope with the degeneracy of the genetic code in two manners: having more than one tRNA (with a specific anti-codon) for a particular amino acid; and 'wobble' base-pairing, i.e. permitting non-standard base-pairing at the 3rd anti-codon position. The record is from RNAcentral. Lineage: Bacteria; Bacillati; Actinomycetota; Actinomycetes; Kitasatosporales; Streptomycetaceae.